Molecule: ribosomal RNA, 253 nt
Filed under: uncultured bacterium
Lineage: Bacteria
Description: partial 16S ribosomal RNA
Rfam family: Bacterial small subunit ribosomal RNA
Source: RNAcentral
UACGUAGGGUGCGAGCGUUAAUCGGAAUUACUGGGCGUAAAGGGCUCGUAGGCGGCCAACUAAGUCAGACGUGAAAUCCCUCAGCUUAACUGGGGAACUGCGUCUGAUACUGGAUGGCUUGGAUUCGGGAGAGGAAUGCGGAAUUCCAGGUGUAGCGGUGAAAUGCGUAGAUAUCUGGAGGAACACCGGUGGCGAAGGCGGCAUUCUGGACCGACAUUGACGCUGAGGAGCGAAAGCCAGGGGAGCAAACGGG